GUCCUUGAUGAGCAGCACAUAUAAUAAAAAUUGGAAUAAUACAGAGAAUAGCAUGUCACCUUCUCAAGGCUGGCAUGCAAAGUCACAAAGCAUUAAAAAAAAAAU
Molecule: small nuclear RNA, 105 nt
Organism: Cricetulus griseus (Chinese hamster)
Lineage: Eukaryota; Metazoa; Chordata; Mammalia; Rodentia; Cricetidae
Source: Ensembl